CGAAGGGUGCAAGCGUUACUCGGAAUUACUGGGCGUAAAGCGUGCGUAGGUGGUUCGUUAAGUCUGUCGUGAAAGCCCCGGGCUCAACCUGGGAAUGGCGAUGGAUACUGGCGGGCUAGAGUGCGGUAGAGGAGAGUGGAAUUCCCGGUGUAGCAGUGAAAUGCGUAGAGAUCGGGAGGAACAUCAGUUGCGAAGGCGGCUCUCUGGACCAGCACUGACACUGAGGCACGAAAGCGUGGGGAGCAAACAGGAUUAGAUACCCUGGUAGUCCACGCCCUAAACGAUGCGAACUGGACGUUGGGAGCAAUCAGGCUCUCAGUGUCGAAGCUAACGCGUUAAGUUCGCCGCCUGGGGAGUACGGUCGCAAGACUG
Molecule: ribosomal RNA, 372 nt
Filed under: uncultured organism
Description: bacterial SSU rRNA
Rfam family: Bacterial small subunit ribosomal RNA
Source: RNAcentral